UCGAUGCUGUAAGGCUUCCUACUUCCGAUUCUUGCCAUGGAUUCCCGUGACCGAAUCUUUCAUGGAGCUUGAUGUCUAACAGUGGGGCAUUCAAAAAGUAGUAUCCACAAGGGUUGGUGAUCUUGGUGCAGAUUCCAAUCUCAUGUGUUCGCCACAUUGGGCACCUGGUCCACUUGGAGAUUACCCAGGAAGGUUUUGGCCCUCCACUUAUCUCCAAGAGAUGAUUUGAAGCUUUAUGGAAAGCAGCUUGACAUCAAUUUACUGGAGUUCAAGAUUCAGGUAAAUUAUUUUUCUUUUGCUUGACAAAGAUGUCGGGCCAUAUCUUACCUGCUUCAUAUCCAUCCAUCCAUGAUAACAAAUCCUAGGAUUCAACAUCAAAAAAUGAUUA
Molecule: non-coding RNA, 388 nt
Organism: Musa acuminata subsp. malaccensis (wild Malaysian banana)
Lineage: Eukaryota; Viridiplantae; Streptophyta; Magnoliopsida; Zingiberales; Musaceae
Source: RefSeq, a predicted model, not a curated record